Erigeron canadensis is the source of this 805-nucleotide long non-coding RNA. RefSeq lists it as uncharacterized. The transcript is spliced from 6 exons. The record is from RefSeq and is a predicted model, not a curated record. NCBI's taxonomy places the organism in Eukaryota, Viridiplantae, Streptophyta, Magnoliopsida, Asterales, Asteraceae.
AGACCUGUUUAUAGUUAUCAGACACAGGGAAUGUUUAUGGUUACAUGAAUCAGGUGAAAACUGUCGAAUUUGGUUGUGAUGGGGCUUUAACUGAUGGGUGGAACUGCUGCCUUGACUGGGACAUAAACCGGUGGAUGAUCUGGAGCCUUGACUAGGGAGUUUAACUGGCAGAUGGGCUGAGGCUUUAACUGAUGGAUGAACUGGUGCGUUGACUUGGACUUCAACUGGUGGGUGAACUGGGUCGUGACUUGGACUUCAACGCCUAGGUAAACUGGACAGGAGUUGUGAUCGGUGGCAACGAGCAGACAGGUUGCAAGCAGAAAGUUGAAUGGGAAGUUUGUUGAAGAAAAACAAGACCACCAAAAAAAGAAUUAAAUGGCUUUCCUCUGGCCCCUUGUGGGCUUCUUAAUUGUGGAAUCAGCUUUCUAAGCAAAAGUGAUGGAGGUCUCAUCUUUUCUUUUGGUGGUUUGAUGACAUGAUGCCUUAUCUUUUAUACAAGCAAGAAGGUAGGUGUGGGCAAGAAGGUAGAAUAAUAUUGAAAUCAAACUCCUCUGUCAUACGGACCAUGAGAAUAUUACAGUGGAAUGCAUGUAUCUGCUUCGUGAAGUGUUCUCCACCCAAAUGAGUUGAGGUUUGGCUGUCUAAUAGUUAGGUUAUUCAUUUAGCUAUUUUGUUCUCAUAGAAGUUAUGCAUACUGCAAAUGUCCAAGAAGCUGAGAUUGCGCUUGAACAUGUUGUAUCUGAUUGGUUAAACGAUUAUUUGUGUGUAAUAUUGAAUAGGGGAGUUGGUUAGCCUAAGUGAACAA